Molecule: ribosomal RNA, 743 nt
Filed under: uncultured bacterium
Lineage: Bacteria
Description: bacterial SSU rRNA
Rfam family: Bacterial small subunit ribosomal RNA
Source: RNAcentral
AGCGGCGGAUGGGUGAGUAACACGUGGGGAACCUGCCCCUAAGUCUGGGAUACCAUUUGGAAACAGGUGCUAAUACCGGAUAAUAAAGCAGAUCGCAUGAUCAGCUUUUGAAAGGCGGCGUAAGCUGUCGCUAAGGGAUGGCCCCGCGGUGCAUUAGCUAGUUGGUAAGGUAACGGCUUACCAAGGCGACGAUGCAUAGCCGAGUUGAGAGACUGAUCGGCCACAUUGGGACUGAGACACGGCCCAAACUCCUACGGGAGGCAGCAGUAGGGAAUCUUCCACAAUGGACGCAAGUCUGAUGGAGCAACGCCGCGUGAGUGAAGAAGGUUUUCGGAUCGUAAAGCUCUGUUGUUGGUGAAGAAGGAUAGAGGUAGUAACUGGCCUUUAUUUGACGGUAAUCAACCAGAAAGUCACGGCUAACUACGUGCCAGCAGCCGCGGUAAUACGUAGGUGGCAAGCGUUGUCCGGAUUUAUUGGGCGUAAAGCGAGCGCAGGCGGAAAAAUAAGUCUAAUGUGAAAGCCCUCGGCUUAACCGAGGAACUGCAUCGGAAACUGUUUUUCUUGAGUGCAGAAGAGGAGAGUGGAACUCCAUGUGUAGCGGUGGAAUGCGUAGAUAUAUGGAAGAACACCAGUGGCGAAAGGCGGCUCUCUGGUCUGCAACUGACGCUGAGGCUCGAAAGCAUGGGUAGCGAACAGGAUUAGAUACCCUGGUAGUCCAUGCCGUAACGAUGAGUGCUAAGUGU